UAACUGUUCAAGUAUCUUCUUUUAUAAAUAGAUUUUGUCUGCCGGGCACGGUGGCUCAAGCCUGUAAUCCCAGCACUUUGGGAGGCCGAGGCGGGUGGAUCACAAG
This is a long non-coding RNA of Sapajus apella (tufted capuchin), 106 nucleotides long. RefSeq lists it as uncharacterized. NCBI's taxonomy places the organism in Eukaryota, Metazoa, Chordata, Mammalia, Primates, Cebidae. The transcript has 3 exons. The record is from RefSeq and is a predicted model, not a curated record.